This 475-nucleotide ribosomal RNA is filed under the name uncultured Hydrogenophaga sp. Its description in RNAcentral is "bacterial SSU rRNA". It matches the Rfam family "Bacterial small subunit ribosomal RNA", at positions 900 to 1382 of the family's 1533-position model. The record is from RNAcentral. Lineage: Bacteria; Pseudomonadati; Pseudomonadota; Betaproteobacteria; Burkholderiales; Comamonadaceae.
CUUAAAUGAAUUGACGGGACCCGCACAAGCGGUGGAUGAUGUGGUUAAUUCGAUGCAACGCGAAAAACCUUACCACCUUUGACAUGCACGGAAGUUGCCAGAGAUGGCUUCGUGCUCGAAAGAGAGCCGUAACACAGGUGCUGCAUGGCUGUCGUCAGCUCGUGUCGUGAGAUGUUGGGUUAAGUCCCGCAACGAGCGCAACCCUUGUCAUUAGUUGCUACGAAAGGGCACUCUAAUGAGACUGCCGGUGACAAACCGGAGGAAGGUGGGGAUGACGUCAAGUCCUCAUGGCCCUUAUAGGUGGGGCUACACACGUCAUACAAUGGCUGGUACAAAGGGUUGCCAACCCGCGAGGGGGAGCCAAUCCCAUAAAGCCAGUCGUAGUCCGGAUCGCAGUCUGCAACUCGGCUGCGUGAAGUCGGAAUCGCUAGUAAUCGUGGAUCAGCAUGUCACGGUGAAUACGUUCCCGGGUCUU